CAAAGUGAAAGAUACAUAAAUCAUGACAGACAUGCAAAUGUCAUGUACUAUUUUCUUAUUGUAGAACUCUCCACUGCUGUAGGUUGUGGCCAGUGUGGACGAACACUCUUCCAGGCACCAAGGCUUCUUUCCACUUUCGGCUGUGCUGGGGAUGGAGAUGGUGUAGAUGCUGUUAGUGUAGCCAUCACAGGAGUAGUGAUCUUUCCUUCUUCCGCCAUUUCCUGAUGCCCAGACAAAAACAGAGCCGAGGCUUCUCCACCCCUGUUCACAAAGAGAAGAAGUUAAAUGGUGGAAGACAAGGAUCACAGACUCUAGGUGAAGACAAGAUCAAAACCAACAGAGCAGAAUCAAAUAUUUGCAAGAGAGGGGGAUGCUAUUUUAAUAACUUGCUGGAUUUAAGAAAGAUUCAGCUGGCUUACAACUUCACAAGACAUCGUCAGAGUAGUUAAGGAAACUGAGGCUUCAGCUGCUUUGAAGAUGGCCCUUUGCCCCAGGUGACCAGCAGGAAGGAGGUGAGGGGAAGCUCAACCAGAGCUGACCCCCCGGAGGGCAGAGGGAGCAGCAGCCUCGCUCUCUGACCAAGAACAGCACCAGGCCCAGUUAUCAACAGCUUCGAAUUAUACCUCGCCCACCUCCUCACCUUCCAAGGAGCCCCAGAACCUUCCAAAUCUUCCUGCAGGUGUAAAUGUGGAAAACUCUCCUCCUGAAGGCUUCAGCCCUAAGAUAUGUCAGAGCAGCCUCUUCAACUCUCAGAGAUCCAUCCGUGACCCUAGUUCUCAACAUUCCCUUUAAACAGCUGCAUAAACUUGAGUGGCAAACUUUAUCACUUUCAUUUUAUCUAAGUUACAUUUGGGUAUAUUUGUUGAAUUUGAAAUCAUCACCCAAGCCUAGAAUGAAGGAAUUCUCUAUGUAAUGACACAGAAAACGGGUUUUGAGAUGAAACAGCAUCCAGAGAUGAGCUGUACUUCAGUCUGCAUGGAAUAAACCAACUAAAAAAACAAGCCUCCAAAAUACUGUAAGUGUGCACUGGGAAAAUCUGAGAAGUGCACGCCCAAAACUCUGCAGUGAUCAUCUUUUUGUUUGGGGGAGGGAUAUUUAUUCUAACACUGUUGUGAUGUUUGAAUUUUUUAUUUUCACUUCAGAAAUUUGUUUUAAAUUGCAAAUUGAGAUAAAAUGGCCCCAAUCCUCCAAAGUAAGCUCCAGUUAAAUAUGUUUGCACAGCGUUAUAGUAAAGAUAGUUUCCAACCGAACAAAAAGCCCCUCACAGUCCCAGCUCUGUUACACCUCGUUCUCAUGUUCCCGUCUGAUGCCUGUCUGCGGACACCGCUGACUCACAUUGUGCUCAGGUGUAAUCGCAGCUGGGAUUCCAUUUUCUAUUCUGCUUUUUUCACUUAAUAGACGUCAAAGAAUCUUCAUUGUUUUUGCCACAGUUAGUUUGUGCCUCAUGGUUGGAUACUAAGGGUAUUUCCAAAUUAUAUUGUUAUAAACGUGAGCUACGAACACUUUUGAAUAUACUCAUAGCUUUGCUUUCU
Diceros bicornis minor is the source of this 1532-nucleotide long non-coding RNA. RefSeq lists it as uncharacterized. The transcript has 3 exons. The record is from RefSeq and is a predicted model, not a curated record. NCBI's taxonomy places the organism in Eukaryota, Metazoa, Chordata, Mammalia, Perissodactyla, Rhinocerotidae.